UGGGACAUGACCAGUCUAAGGGGGCUUCCAGCCUUGCAGAAAAGACACUGGGCCAGGGCAGUGAAGAAGGUGUCAGAUCAGAAAGGAUGAUCUCUGGGUCCACAACGGCCACUUCCAAGGCACCUAGAGAGGGGGAAACAGUUUGCCUUCCCCAGGAUUUUCUGAUUGUUGAAAAAUACCAUGAACUGCCUGACACAGAGCGGAGCAUAAAUCAUUGGAAAAUACUCAGAUUCUAGUGGAUUUACUAGAACACACUGGGAGUCAUGGAUGAACCUGGAUUUUAAAGCUCAACCCACAGCCCGCCACUCUCUACUUGUGUGGUCUUGGUCUAUCUACAACCUUAAAGCCUCAGUAUUCUCCUCCGUAAAUUGGCGGGGAGCAAUAUCACCCUUGCAGGGUGAUGGUUACGGGUAAACUACAUUUGAAACGUUUUUAUAGUUUAUAGUAACAGAAAUCAAAUAUGAGCUUCCUGCCUUCUGGAGAAAAAGAAUUGGAUCUUUCACAUUUUUCUAUUACCCAUAUGAUCACAUCUUAAUGCAUAUUGAUUGAACUGUACCAAAUGACGAAGUACUGCAUUUUACCAUUCUUACUACACACUUCAAAGAGGUGUGGAAAUAUAUUAAGUAGAAAUUAGGAUAUAUAGAGAAAACAUCCCUCCUCCAAAAGAGGUUUCUGCAACUAACUACGAAGUGAGAACUUCUAAAAUCACUUACAUCUUUUGCAAUAUCAUCUCAGAUAUUGUAAGAAACAUUUAAUAAAUAGUCAUGACUUAAUGAUAUCAACCCUGGAUUAAAUGACUCUAAUUCUGUGUCACUUUUGUGUAAUGUAAAGAUACCGAUUGUGAAUAUAAGACUCAAAUAUGGGAAAACUGCCAGAUACAAAAAUACAGCCGCUAAGCAAUAUUUCUGUUCAUCACCGAGGAAUCUCAUUUCCAAAGUGCCCCAGUUUUUAAGAGGAAGAACACCAGAGUCAGACAGACCCAUAGCAGCUGAGUCUAACCUUUCUGAAGCUCUGUUACCUCAUCUUAUAAAAUGAGGAUAAUAUAGGUAGCUGUCAUUCAAUGAAGGAAUGCAUACAACAUGCUUAGCAUAACACCUGUCACAUGGUAAGUGCUCCAGGGUCACCACCUAUCAUUGUUUCCAGCAUACAGUUAUCACCCCACCGACAUGUAGCCCCUCCCUCAUGAGCUCAAGAGCCCCCAGCACGUGUUCUACUCACACACGCACAAGCUUCAGUGUCCCUUAAGAUGUUAUCUCCUGGAAAGUAGGAACAGAAAGAGAAUAUUUUCAGGUAGUUUGGAACAGAAUGAAUAACAUUCACAUUCCUUGCCCAAGUCAGUACAGAUUAAUUUCCAUCAUUUCCAACUCAUACUUUAUACAUUUCCCAUAAGAGGAAAAUCAUGCUGGUUUUCAGUAGCAUAUGAAAAAAAAAAAAUUCCAAGAGGAUUCUUUUGCCAAGCCACUUCAUUACAGCUUCCCCUUAGAGGAUACCAAAGAAGCACAGGGAUAUUGGAAAGGUGUCACCAUAGCAACAUUGUAAUAGACAGAUGACAAUAGAGUAAAAGCGAAGAAAGCACAUUUGCAUAGUCAUUGACAAACUUGGACCUACAGUCAUAUUGCUCUGGGCAGCAGUGCUCAGAGUCCAAGGGCUACUCAAAGUAAAUUUGGUAAGAGGCUAUUUCUAUUCAUUUUGGCUGAGUCUGACUACCCAGUUCAUUGUGCUCAUGUGUGUGCUAAUUGUAAUUGUUACAGGCAGUUCACUAACAAACAGCAGACAUCCUCAAGAGUCCCUUUCAUCCUAAGCAAUGUGAGUUCACAAAUCUAAAUGUGUACCUAAUAAAUCUUCAAUAGUAAAGCGUACUUCCU
Molecule: long non-coding RNA, 1865 nt
Filed under: Homo sapiens (human)
Lineage: Eukaryota; Metazoa; Chordata; Mammalia; Primates; Hominidae
Description: partial EMICERI
Source: RNAcentral